RNAcentral lists this ribosomal RNA (301 nucleotides) under uncultured bacterium. Its description in RNAcentral is "partial 16S ribosomal RNA". It matches the Rfam family "Bacterial small subunit ribosomal RNA", at positions 509 to 808 of the family's 1533-position model. The record is from RNAcentral.
CAGUCGCCGCGGGAAAACGGAGGGUGCAAGCGUUAAUCGGAGUUACUGGGCGUAAAGAGUGCGUAGGUGGUUAGAUAAGUUAUGUGUGAAAUCCCUGGGCUUAACCUGGGCAGGUCAUAUAAUACUGUUUGACUCGAGUAUGGGAGAGGGUAGUGGAAUUUCCGGUGUAGCGGUGAAAUGCGUAGAGAUCGGAAGGAACACCAGUGGCGAAGGCGGCUACCUGGCCUAAUACUGACACUGAGGCACGAAAGCGUGGGGAGCAACAGGAUUAGAUACCCGCGUAGUCCCUGUCUCUUAUACA